CAUAGCGACUAUCGUGGCAUAUCAAUAAGCGGAGGAAAAGAAACUAACAAGGAUUCCCUUAGUAACGGCGAGUGAAGCGGGAAGAGCUCAAAUUUGAAAUCUUCAAGGUUUUCCCUUGACGAAUUGUAGUUUAAAGAAGUGUUUUCUGUUGAAGUUUUGGUAAAAGUUCUUUGGAAUAGGACAUCAUAGAGGGUGAGAAUCCCGUAUUUGACCAUUAUUUUCCAGCUGUGUGAUACACUUUCAAAGAGUCGGAUUGUUUGGGAAUGCAGUCCAAAAUGGGUGGUAAAUUUCAUCUAAAGCUAAAUAUUGGCGAGAGACCGAUAGCGAACAAGUACCGUGAGGGAAAGAUGAAAAGAACUUUGAAAAGAGAGUUAAACAGUACGUGAAAUUGUCAAAAGGGAAGCGUUUGACACCAGUGUUGUUUUCUCGAAAAUCAAUUAAAAAUGAUGGGAUUUUGUGUUGUAUUGACUUUAUCAGCUUUCUGCACUUUUUUCUUAUCUUUUUUAAUGCACUUUUCGUUUAACAAGUCAACAUCAAUUUCUUUUGCUUGUAAAAGAGUCAUUGGAAGGUGGCUUUCUUCUUCGGAGAAAGUGUUUAUAGCCUUUUCUUCUGCAAUCGGAGAGAUUGAGGUCUGCAGCGUAGACUCCUUCGGGGUUAGAUACAUUUGUGCUAAGCUAUAGUUCUUUAUAGACAACUUGUUGACUAUAUUUAGUCUUGUGGCUUACUCGCUUAUGCUAUUUUACCUACGCUUAGGAUGUUGAUAUGCAUGACUGAUAU
RNAcentral lists this ribosomal RNA (777 nucleotides) under uncultured Neocallimastigales. Its description in RNAcentral is "partial large subunit ribosomal RNA". The stretch from base 5 to 696 matches the Rfam family "Eukaryotic large subunit ribosomal RNA", at positions 24 to 664 of the family's 3401-position model. Lineage: Eukaryota; Fungi; Neocallimastigomycota; Neocallimastigomycetes; Neocallimastigales. The record is from RNAcentral.